This 2783-nucleotide long non-coding RNA is filed under the name Nicotiana tabacum (common tobacco). RNAcentral's name for it is "long non-coding RNA (NTAB_LNC016267)". Lineage: Eukaryota; Viridiplantae; Streptophyta; Magnoliopsida; Solanales; Solanaceae. The record is from RNAcentral.
UUUUAUUAGGAAAUAGUUUAUGAUCCCAAAUGGAUAGCUGCACAUAUUCAUGCUAUCUGUUUUAACUAUUUUCUUGGUCUAUUUUAACUAUCAAUCUUCAAUCAACACAUAAAGAGAGACUGGCAUGCGAAGAAAUACAAGAACUCUGUAAUGUGUUUGUGCAAUAUUAAGAUGCUAGCUCAGUAAGAUGAUUCGAUAUUUGUUACUUUUGUACCGAUAUAUUUAUGUUGUUUUAGUCACCAUGUGACAUUCUACAAGCAAGACAUCAUGUAGUGUCUUUGUUUCAGGUCUUUAACCAUAUUUGGAGGGUAAUUUAUUCCGUUUACCGCAUGUGAAAGUAAAUAUUGCUUUAAUUAUGACUUCAUGCUGAUGCAUUGUAUAGUACUUCACAGUCCCGACCCUAUAAUAGUUUUUUUCAUAGAUUUUUUUGUAGAUUGCUAUUUUAUUAAAUUUUACUGUAACAGAAAAAUUAGCAUUCUUUCUGAUUUCUAAAAUAUUUAUUAUUGGCAGAUUUUAACUUUCUCUCAAUGCCUAUAAAACCCUCGCCAUUUCAAAAUGAAAUAACUAAAUUUUGGAUAUGAUGCUACAAAUUAAGCAAAUAAACUAAGAAAUUCUGUAAUAUUUUUUAUGUUUGUGUGUACCCAGCAACAUUUAAUAUUUAGAUAGAAAGACCAAAUUUGCAUAUGAAGAAAAGAGUAGUACAUCCUGAAUCUUUGUAUUUGAGUGUGAAACAACUUUUGUCAUGAAACUUGAAGGUACCAAACCAUGAUUUGAUAGGAAUUCAGGUUUAUAUUUUCCAAUUUAUAAAAAUUUAUGCUUGAUUUCAAGAGUUAGUGUCCUCUCUCAUCUGAGGUAAAAUGUGGAUAACAGCAAUCUAGGGAAAACACUUUUAAUAAUAUUUGUGGCACUUUGCUUGGUUGACUUACACGUCUGUCUAAGGAGCAUUUCUCCUUGGCUAUUGUUUUAAGCCUGUCUAUUAUUUUAAGCUCUUAGCUACAAAGCAUUUUUCCUUGGUUGUACAAUAUUUUCCAAGUGUCUUUAAAUGAGUUCCAUCGAUAACUUUCUAUCCCCAGAGGUGUCGAAGAACAUAACAGUCAUAGCUAUCUUUCUUAAAACUCUUUCUAUCGUAUUCUUUCCUCCCUUUGUAUCAUUUUCUCUUCUAGGAAAAGCUUUAAAAACACACACUACGAAUUUUCAGUAUGGCAUUGUCAGAAAAAUCCGUUUAGGGGAUGAUUACUCAUUAAAAAAUAAGAGAAAGUGCCUUUUCCUUAUUUUUUCUUGAAGGAGUUUAUCGUUAUCUAUUCUGUUUUUCUACCAUUCCUUGCUAUUUUGGUGUCUCUACAGAAAUGCUUUUAUUUCUGGAUCAAUUAUGCUAUGUGUGGUUUUCUUUUUAGUUCAACUGGAGAUUCGCUUCAUACUUCAUGAACACAAAUACGAUGUUGCUUGCAUUGUUGUUUAAUUUAUAAAUGAACUUAUGACUUCUUAAAAGAAAUUAAGUUGCCUAAAUUGGUAAACAUUGCAAGUACAUGAAACUUUUGUCAAAUGCGGACUUGACAAAUGUAGGCAAAAUUCGCAGAAGACUGUAUUCCUAAAAUCUUCGGUCCUUCCUUUCAAUCAAAUGAAGUAAAAAUUCUCUUUUAACUACCAUUUUCAAUUUUAUGCAAGUUGUAUUUGCAUCUUAUCCUUCUUGAUGUACAUGGUUGAAAUUUGAUAAGUGCUUCUAUAUAUUUGGCAUAACCUAGAGGUUUUUGCAUCUCAUGUAAUGCUACCAAAGCUUCUUUCUUAAAACCUGGAUUUGAUUAUUUCUUGCUUUUUAACUCCUUUCUUUUAUCUACACUUUUUUGUCCUCUGAUUGGUCAUAUCAUGUUUCUCUUGUUUUAAUUGUCCCUCAUGUUCCUGGUCCUUUUUUUUCAUAGAAAAGUAUUCUGAAUUUAUUUAUUCAACCUUUUAUCCUUUUCUACUAAGAAUUCUCUCUUUCAGUUCUACUUUCAACUUUACAGCUUUACAUAUUUCUAUGUUAUAUAGUAGUGAGAAAUCUUCUAAAUCUUUAUUAUUUCAAACAUAAAAUGUAAAAGCAUUCUUACAUGGAAUUGUUGCUGAGAUGGAUUUUUUAAUCCAGAAUUACUUAUUGAUCUUGUUACGAGAAAUGAUUACAGAUCUAGAUGGAACCAUUGCUCAAUGCAAGAUUAAUCAGGGUAGGAGCUUGCUUUCAAGAGAAACUGCAGUAAAUGGAGAAUAGAAAGAACUUUCUCUCUUACACAAAUUCUUGAAGAAGUCCGCCCAUGUACCCGAUUCUGUUAAAUAGAAUAGAAGUACCUAUGGUUUUUUCUCAGUUGUUGAAGUCCGUUCUUUUCAAAAAGUACUGGCGCAUCUGGAACAAGAAUUUUGAGGUGUAUUUGGAAGAGCAAAACAACACCAAAGUUAAUUUUCUUGGAGUGGACUACAUGUCAUAAUGACCUAACUCGAGCAAACCUUUCACAUGCUGGUGAAAUCAUAUGCUUAAGAUGUUAGGUGUGCUUAAAGGAAGCUGAAGUCCAUUUGUUCUUCCAUGUAUCAUUGUUUCUUAGCUUUAUUGCAUGUUCUUGGAUUAUAGAAGUAACAAUAGCUGGAUGGGCAAGAAAGUAAAGACCAUGUCAAAAACAUAUGGAAUACAAUUCCGACCUGCAUUUUUUAAGUAGUUUUAUGUGCAAUAAAACUUUGUAUUUACCUACCAAAAGAAAAUCAUGAAACUCUUAAGAAUGUGUUGAACACAUGAUUAUAUUUUUUCAAGGAAGUUGACCCAU